AGGGCGCAUGGUGAAUGCCUUGGCACUAGGAGCCGAUGAAGGACGGGACUAACACCGAUAUGCUUCGGGGAGCUGUACGUAAGCUAUGAUCCGGAGAUUUCCGAAUGGGGCAACCCAGCAGUUUUAAUCAACUGUUACCACUAGAUGAAUUCAUAGUCUAGUUGGAGGUAAACGCUGUGAACUGAAACAUCUCAUUAGCAGCAGGAAUAUAAAGAAAUUUCGAUUCCCUAAGUAGCGGCGAGCGAACGGGGAACAGCCCAAACCAAAGUGCUUGCACUUUGGGGUUGUAGGACUGGACAUUUGAGUUACCAAAGAACUUGAUAGUCGAAGGAUUUGGGAAAAUCCGCCAUAGAUGGUGAUAGCCCAGUAGAUUAAAUCAAAUUCUCUCAGUUCAGGAUCCUGAGUACGGCGGAACACGUGAAAUUCCGUCGGAAUCCGGGAGGACCAUCUCCCAAGGCUAAAUACUACCUAGUGACCGAUAGUGAACCAGUACCGUGAGGGAAAGGUGAAAAGCACCCCGGGAGGGGAGUGAAAUAGUUCCUGAAACCAUGUGCCUACAAUAAGUCAGAGCGCGUUAAUGCGUGAUGGCGUGCCUUUUGUAGAAUGAACCGGCGAGUUAUGAUCCCGUGCAAGGUUAAGACUAAAAAGUCGGAGCCGUAGCGAAAGCGAGUCUGAAAUGGGCGUUUUGAGUACGAGGUUAUAGACCCGAAACCAGGUGACCUAUCCAUGUCCAGGUUGAAGGUGCGGUAAAACGCACUGGAGGACCGAACCCGUGUAAGUUGAAAAUUGCUGGGAUGAGGUGUGGAUAGCGGUGAAAUUCCAAACGAACUUGGAGAUAGCUGGUUCUCUCCGAAAUAGCUUUAGGGCUAGCCUCGGAAUUAGGAUCAUGGAGGUAGAGCACUAUUUGGACUAGGGGCCCGUCUUGGGUUACUGAAUUCAGAUAAACUCCGAAUGCCAUUGAUUCAUAUCCGGGAGUCAGACGAUGAGUGAUAAGAUCCACCGUCGAAAGGGGAACAGCCCAGACCAUCAGUUAAGGUCCCUAAAUGUAUGCUAAGUGGAAAAGGAUGUGGAGUUGCAUAGACAACUAGGAUGUUGGCUCAGAAGCAGCCACCAUUUAAAGAGUGCGUAAUAGCUCACUAGUCGAGUGAUCCUGCGCCGAAAAUGUACCGGGGCUAAGCAUACUACCGAAACCAUGGAUGCGACCAUUAGGUCGCGUGAUAGGAGAGCGUUCUAAGGGCGGUGAAGCAAGAUCGUGAGGACUUGUGGAGCGCUUAGAAGUGAGAAUGCCGGUAUGAGUAGCGAAAGAUAGGUGAGAAUCCUAUCCACCGAAUGACUAAGGUUUCCUGGGGAAGGCUCGUCCUCCCAGGGUUAGUCGGGACCUAAGUCGAGGCCGAGAGGCGUAGACGAUGGAUAACAGGUUGAGAUUCCUGUACUAGUUAAGUGCGUUUGAGCAAUGGAGGGACGCAGGAGGCUAAGAUGUGCAUUCUGUUGGAUUAGAAUGUCCAAGCAGUAAGUCUUGUGAAGAGUCAAAUGCUUUUCACUUUAAGGACAAGCUGUGAUGGGGAGCGAAAUUUAGUAGCGAAGCGUCUGAUGUCACACUGCCGAGAAAAGCUUCUAGUGAGUACUUAACUACCCGUACCGCAAACCGACACAGGUAGUCGAGGAGAGAAUCCUAAGGUGAGCGAGUGAACUCUCGUUAAGGAACUCGGCAAAAUGACCCCGUAACUUCGGGAGAAGGGGUGCUGAUCGCAAGAUCAGCCGCAGUGAAUAGGCCCAGGCGACUGUUUAUCAAAAACACAGGUCUCUGCAAAAUCGUAAGAUGACGUAUAGGGGCUGACGCCUGCCCGGUGCUGGAAGGUUAAAAGGAUGGGUUAGCUUCGGCGAAGCUCAGAAUUGAAGCCCCAGUAAACGGCGGCCGUAACUAUAACGGUCCUAAGGUAGCGAAAUUCCUUGUCGGGUAAGUUCCGACCCGCACGAAAGGCGUAACGAUCUGGGCACUGUCUCAACGAGAGACUCGGUGAAAUUAUAUUGUCCGUGAAGAUGCGGACUACCCGCGACAGGACGGAAAGACCCCAUGGAGCUUUACUGUAGCUUGAUAUUGAGUGUUUGUACAGCUUGUACAGGAUAGGUAGGAGCCAUAGAAACCGGAACGCUAGUUUCGGUGGAGGCGUUGGUGGGAUACUACCCUCGCUGUAUGACCACUCUAACCCGCACCACUAAUCGUGGUGGGAGACAGUGUCAGGUGGGCAGUUUGACUGGGGCGGUCGCCUCCUAAAAAGUAACGGAGGCGCCCAAAGGUUCCCUCAGAAUGGUUGGAAAUCAUUCGCAGAGUGUAAAGGCACAAGGGAGCUUGACUGCGAGACAGACAGGUCGAGCAGGGACGAAAGUCGGGCUUAGUGAUCCGGUGGUACCGUAUGGAAGGGCCAUCGCUCAACGGAUAAAAGCUACCCUGGGGAUAACAGGCUUAUCUCCCCCAAGAGUCCACAUCGACGGGGAGGUUUGGCACCUCGAUGUCGGCUCAUCGCAUCCUGGGGCUGUAGUCGGUCCCAAGGGUUGGGCUGUUCGCCCAUUAAAGCGGUACGCGAGCUGGGUUCAGAACGUCGUGAGACAGUUCGGUCCCUAUCCGUCGCGGGCGUAGGAAAUUUGAGAGGACCUGUCCUUAGUACGAGAGGACCGGGAUGGACAUACCUCUGGUGUACCAGUUGUGCCGCCAGGCGCAUCGCUGGGUAGCUACGUAUGGAUGUGAUAAACGCUGAAAGCAUCUAAGUGUGAAACACACCUCGAGAUGAGAUUUCCCAUUCCUUUAU
Molecule: ribosomal RNA, 2807 nt
Filed under: Lactobacillus sp. D1501
Lineage: Bacteria; Bacillati; Bacillota; Bacilli; Lactobacillales; Lactobacillaceae
Description: bacterial LSU rRNA
Rfam family: Bacterial large subunit ribosomal RNA
Source: RNAcentral